AGGGCACCACCAGGAGUGGUGCCUGCGGCUUAAUUUGACUCAACACGGGGAAACUUACCCGGCCUGGACACUGGAAGGAUUGACAGAUUGAGAGCUCUUUCUUGAUUCAGUGGGUGGUGGUGCAUGGCCGUUCUUAGUUGGUGGAGCGAUUUGUCUGGUUAAUUCCGAUAACGAACGAGACUCUAGCCUAUUAAAUAGGCUCUCGGCUUUUAAACGCCGGGAGGACUUCUUAGAGGGACAGGUGGCGGUUCAGCCGCACGAAAGAGAGCAAUAACAGGUCUGUGAUGCCCUUUGUUGUCCGGGGCCGCACGCGCGCUACACUGAAGAGAUCAGCGUGCUUUACGUUCCUGCUCCGACCGGAGUGGGAACCCAGUGAACCUUCUUCGUGAUUGGGAUAGAAGAUUGUAAUUAUUCUUCUUGAACGAGGAAUUCCCAGUAAAUGCGAGUCAUAAGCUCGCGUUGAUUACGUCCCUGCCCUUUGUACACACCGCCCGUCGCUACUACCGAUUGAACGAUUUA
Molecule: ribosomal RNA, 519 nt
Filed under: uncultured eukaryote
Lineage: Eukaryota
Description: SSU rRNA
Rfam family: Eukaryotic small subunit ribosomal RNA
Source: RNAcentral